UAAAGUUCUUAGUGUUAAAAUUUUCAUCGGGAUUCAGUUAACAUACAAUAGAUAUUAAAACCUGAUUGAUCAAAACAACAGAACUGUAUUAUAAAUUUUAGUGAGUACUUAUUAAACAUAAGAAAUAAAAUUUUAUUGAAUAGUCCUUUCUUACUGAAACUUAACAGGACUGUUUUUACAGUUGGUUUGUAUAUUUAUGGAUAAAUAUCACUUAUUGCUAGAAUAAGAGGAUUCAACAUCAAUUCUAUUUCUCAGUUUUGUUUUUAUAAAUAUAAGCAUUAAGAAACUUGGUUUACAUAAAUAAUUAGAAGGAAAUUAGAUGGAAAACAUUUUGCUUUCUCAAUGCCACUUAAUCAUUUGAGUGCCUUCUAAGUUAUAUUCAGAAAAUCACAUAGUGAUCCAUGUUAAAGUAAUUUUUAAUGAUCUUUGAAAAAAAUAUUUGGCCCUCUUUUAAUUUUCCUGAAGCAAAUCAUUAAACACCAUAAUGCUUGGGAAACACCAUAAUGCUUGGGAAAAGAUUUUUUUAAAAUCCUGUCAUUAAAGUCAUUUACUUUUGAAAUAUUUUAUUUUUAAUUGCCCCAUUUUUCCAGCCCUAGACUUUUUUAUACCCACAGUAAGUUCAGGCUGAGUGAGUGGCAUGUUCAUAAGAGAAGCACGACUGUGACAGGGGAAUGGGAAAUGGAGAACCAGCGUAAUGUCUCCAUUGCAGGUAAAUUUCAUACGGAAAUUAGGUAUCUGGAAAAAGAUUCCCUUAAAACUGAUUCUUUAUACCCUUAUAUCCUUAAAAGGCCUCAUGUACCUCAGGAGGCCUGUGUAUCUCAGUUUGAGGGCCAAUAUUCUCGUAGAGACAAAAAUGUAUAAAAAUAUAUACAAUGUGAUACUUCUUGAUACUAAAAAAAAAAUGCUAUAAAAGGAAGCAUAUGGUAAAAACCUGGAGGGAGAGUGCUAUGUGAGAUAAGGCAAUGAGAGAGGCCCCUGUGAGAGGGGCUGCCUAACCUGAGCCUGAAGGAUGAGCAUAGUUGUUUUGCAGAGCUGGUCAGGCAUGUUGUAAGUGGGAGGAACAGCAUGUGCAAAGGUCCUGUUGGAAAUAAGCUUGGCAUGUUUGAGUGGCAGAAAGAGGAUCUGUGGGGCUGGAGCAUGAUGACCAAGGGGAAGAGUGGAAGAAAGUGAGGUCCAGAAAUGGGCAAGGCCAUAUUUAUGAGGCCCUGAGGGAGCUGCACAUUAUUUUCAGCAUGAUUCAAAGCCAUCUGAGGUUUUAAGCAGGAGAAUGACAAGAGCUGAGUUUUGCUUUAGAAAUAUCUUUCUGGGUGCUGUGAGGUAGGGGCAGUGGAUGAUAGGGAAGUAAAAAUAAGCUAGCAAGUUGCAAGAUAGCUAUAGACUACUGCUGUCAUCCACGAGGGAAGUGACUGCAGCUUAGAACAGGGGACAACACUGAGGCUGAUAAGAAGAACUCAAUUUAGGAAAGCAUUUGGAGAAAAAGCCAACGAGAAUUGCUGAUGGGUUGCAUAUGCAGUGUGAAGAAAGAAAAAUAAUCUACCUGUAGAAUAAAUUCUAGAGGUGGAAUUGCUUAAUCAUGUCUAUGACAUAUUUUAAAAAAAAAACAUAAACUGAAGUGCUGGGCAGAUAUUUUGGACGACACACUAAGUGAUCAAGAACUCCAGUCUGAAAAUCUACCUGGAUAAGCAGUGAUAUGGACCCUACUCAUGGGCCAUUUUUCCAUAUCACCAUACAUGCCCCAGGCACUGAAAACUGCCAAAUAAACCUUCUUAAAAUGAGGUCCAUUUUCAAGGAACAACUCUUAUUGACACAGUUCUGAUCAGUCCAAAGUGUGCAACUAUCUAGUCUUAAGUAUGUUUUAUUUAAAUAAUGCCAGUAGGGAGUUGUGAAGCUAAAAUUAAUGUUUUGAAACUAUCCAUAAUUUUUUUAAAUGAAUUUUUUAUUAACCUUGCAAGAGACGUGAUCUAAAUUUUUAUCCUUUUCUUGCUAUAGAACAUAUUAUAAAAUUGUUGUAACACAAAAAGGCAAUCAAAGAGCAAGCAGCCAAAGGGUAGGAAAGAAGUAUUAUAGGUAUUAUAGAGAGUUGUCAGGCAGGUAAUUAAUAAAAUUUAAUUUUAUCUUGCUUGACUUUGUGAUUAUUGUGGUAUUUUUCAGUAAUUAAAAAUUUGUAAUUCAUUGUAGUUUCCUUUUCUCAGACUAAACAAAUACUUUCAUACUAAAUAUGUAUUUAAAUUUUGUAUUUUUUAUGUGAAAGAGGGCUCCCCAAAUUGUUUAAGCUUCAGGACCAUAAAACCUGGACCUGCUCCUGGCAAGUGUCAUCACUUAAUAACAUAGGAAAGACUUGACAUGGAGCAAAUGAUUGUUGUUGUUUGGGGAGAUGUAAUGUAGGGGGCAAUUAAUAGGGCUUUUUUGGCUUGGUUAAGCUAGAAAUGUCCAUUUACCAUCUUAAUGGAUGUAGGCAGUUGGAUAAAUGGGUCUGGAGCUCAAGAGUUCUGGGUUGGACAUGUAAGUUUUGGGUAUAAUUAGUGCAUAACUUUAAGAGACUGUGAAGAUUCCUAAGGUAAGAGUUUAUAGAGAAGGAAAAGAAGAGAAGAGGAUUCCUGACAAAGCUCUGAGGUCUUCAACAUUUAGAAAUUUAGUAUAAAAACAGAAUCAGCAAAGAGGGCCAAGCAGCAGCAGGCAAUGCCAUAGGAGGGAAACUAGGCAGGUGGUAGCCCAGAAACCUUGAUAAAGGAUUCCAUGGAAGAAGGGGAGUCAGUCAGGCCAAGCCCAGCUGGGAGGUUGUCUUAGUUCAUUUAAUGUUGCUAUAACAGAAUACCUGAAUCUGGGUAAUUUAUAAAGAAAGAAGUUUAUUUAGCUCAUGGUUCUGGUGGCUGGAAAGUCCAAGAUUGGGCAGCUGUAUCUGGUGAGGGGCUUAUGCUUCUAUAACUCAUGGCAGAAUGCAGAGCAGAAGAAAGCACAUGCAAACAAAGAGGCCAUGCAGGAGGAGUAAUCUCACUUUAUAACAACCUGCUAUUGCAGGAACUAAUCCAUUCCUAAGAGAGUGAGAACCUACCCACGACAUUAAUCUAUUCAUGAGGGAUUUGCUCCCAUGAGACAAACACCUCCCACUAGGCCCCAUCUCCCAAUACAACUGAACUGGCAGUUAAACUUCAACAUAAGUUUUAGUGAGGACAAACCACAUCCAAACCAUAGCAGAGGUCAAGAAAGUCAAAGGUGGGGUUGGUCAAAAGCCUCAGCCAUUGGUGACUCUGACAUGUGCCAUUUUCUUAGAGUGGUGGAUGAACAACUCUGGAGAGAAUUUAGGAUAGUCUUGGAGGUAAGGAAGCAAUGGACCGGGUGCAGUGGCUCCCACCUGUAAUCCCAGCACUUUGGGAAGCCGAGGUGGGCAGAUGACCUGAGGUCAGGAGUUCGAGACCACCCUGACCAACAUGGUGAAACUCCGUCUCUUCUAAAAAUACAAAAUUAGCCAGGCAUGGUGGUGCAUGCCUGUAAUCCCAGCUACUCAGGAGGCUGAGGCAGGGGAAUCGCUUGAACCUGGGAGGCAGAGAUUGCAGUGAGCCGAGGUCACGCCAUUGCACUCCAGCCUGGGUAACAGUGUAAGACUCUGUCUCAAAAAAAAAAAAAGAAGAAGAAGAAGAAAAGGAAAAGAAAAAGAGAAAGGAAGCAAUGACAGUGGAUAUAUUCAUCCUGCUUGAAAGUAUGGCUGCAAAGAAGAACAGAAAAGGGUGGUAGGAGCUGGAGGAGGUGUGGGUCCAAGGGGUGAAUUUGGUUUUGGUUUUUUAAUGAAUAAUAUUAAGCAUAUUUAUUUGCAAAUGGAAAUGAACCACUAGCAAGGAAAAACUGAUAUUGCAGGAAAGAAUGGGGAUAAUUGCAGAAUGAUCUAGAGUUUGAAUGGAAGCCUUUGCCUGAUCCAUUUUCUCUAUACAACAUGGAGAGAAUUUGGAAUCACAAAAUGACUAUUCUGACUAUCGGGGAUGGGGCACAGGAGAAGGAGUAAUAAAGAUUUGAGGUGAGAAAAGAAAUGUGAGGUAUUCUUGAAGGGAAACAUGACUUUGCUGUUUCUAUACUUUAUUACAAAAUUAUAAACUCUUUAGGGGAGGCCCUGUGUGUUAUACAUUUAUGGAAACCCCAUAGAGUCAGCAUAGCAUCUUGCAUACUCUAGGACUUCAAUGCGCUCCUGUUGAGUAGGUGGAUGGGUUGGAUGGAUGAGAAGUGCCUUGUAGGAAUCCAAAGGAAUAAAUUAAAAGACUUCAUCAAAUGGGGGAAAUUUCGAGUGAUGAGGAGGAUUCCAGAUAGGAGGGUGGCAUGAGUAAAGGUGCAAGUGUAGCUUCUCCUGGGAGGACUGUGCCUGGAUCUGAGGAGAGAUAUGUGUGUUUGAGAUGAUGGGAGAUGCAUUCAUAUGUGUUGGUGGGAUAAGCCCAAAUAGGUUAUGCCUUGCAAGUGAUGUUAAAGACUUUGGAUUAGCAUGUGAUUAGCAUGUAAUGCGGUAUCCAGGUUGAGAUUUUUUGGAACUUAGUUAAUACAGCCUGGACAAACAGAACAUUUAAAGCCACAAGUAGUUUUCAGUCAUUCAAAAUAUAGAAAUUUAAACUAGAAAGAUAAAGACUUCUGUUUUUAGGGAUAUCAUCUCAAGAAGUCUACAGUACGAAAAUGUAAAAUAAAUACUACUUUCUAAAAUGCAGCUACUAUUACCCCAAGAGGCUGGAGAUUAGCCUAGAAAGUACCAUUAUUAGACCAAUGUGUUAUCAUUCAAUUGCCUGGUAGGGAGUGGGGCACAGAGGAACAUGUAAAACCCCAAUAGACGGAGGGUGGUGUUUCUCUUGAAAGGAGUGAACAUCACCACUGUCAAUUGCCCUGGGAAGAAGUAGAUCCUAUGACAGGAAGUAAGGAUUGAGAAGGUAGACUACAGACUAGAGAGGAGGAGAAACUCAUCUCUUUCUGUGGGCCUCUGGUGAUGAGCCUGAUCAGGCUUUGAGUACUUUCAGUGGUGGGCAUGAGCGUGUACUUUGUAAGCAGGUCAACAUUUAGGCAGAAGGCAGUGGGUUGGCCUGCAGAUUCAGAGAAAUCACAUCUAAGUUCUCUAAGUUCUCUUCUUGUGCUUCCCCAACCCUUGAGUCCAUUUCAAUUCACUUUCAGCCUGGCCUAAGCAAGGUGGUAGGGAGAGAAGAACAUGCCUGGGACAUGUUUGGGUCCUGGUGGUGAAGGGCAGAGCAGAGCCCUUUCCUGAGGCCUGAAUGGUAAAAGCAUCAUACAUGUCACCAUGCGCCACAGGGCAGUGAUCCCUUGGGACCACAGGCAGUAGUGGCAAGGGCAUGAAGUAUCAUUAUUAAACAUAAGAGUCUGUCAUAGGGGAUUUUCUGAAAUAACUGAGGGAAACUCUACAAGAGCAGGUGGUAGCCAAAGUCAUAGUUUAGCAAUUUAAUGAAAAAAUUCUUAGUGUUUAAGCAGGUGAUGAUAAGUCAGUCCUCUAUCUCCACUCCCUGAAUUUGGAACCUUUAGAGAUUUAGAUACAGGAGACUAAAGAUGAAAACGUCAACUUUAUUACUACUAGCACUGGCUUGGAAAUUGUCAUAUACACACAGUAAACAACCAGACAGCAGACACACUCGCUCUGUUGGGGCAAUAUUCCUGGGGGAGACCACAAAGACAAGAAUAGCAGCAGGUGUGUGGAUCCCCAGUGCCCACUGCCUUCUAAAGAAGAACAAAGUGAUCGGUGGAAUCAGACAUCAACUUUCAGGAAAGGGACUCUGCCCUUUGGGCUGAGAAAUUUUAAAGCUGCAUUAAUAAAGAAAUGCCAAGCCCUCCUCUGGAGUAAGUAGAGGUCACAGUACAGUAUAAGGAUAAUAUAAGGUUCUGGCAUGGCAGCUCAGGGAUUGUGGCUGGAGGAACAUGAGCUCCUCCCAUUGCAUAACCAGAAAGCUAGGUCUAUGCCUGGCCAUUGCUGCUGUGUACUGUGGCAACUUCACAGUGUGAAGGAAAAAUAUCUUGGGCUCCCUAAAUCACUAAGCUAAAGGGAAAAGUCAAGCUGGAAACUGCUUAGGGCAAACCUGCCUCCCAUUCUAUUCAAAGUUAUCCCUCUGCUCACUGAGAUAAAUGCAUAUCUGAUUGCCUCCUUUGGAGAGGCUAAUCAGAAACUCAAAAGAAUGCAACCAUUUGUCUCAUAUCUACCUAUGACCUGGAAACUCGCUCCCUGUUUUGAGUUGUCCCACCUUUCCAGACCAAACCAAUGUUCAUCUUACAUAUGCUGAUUGAUGUCUCAUGUCUCUCUAAAAUGCAUAAAACCAAACUGUGCUCUGACAACUUUGGGCACAUGUCAGGACCUCCUGAGGCUGUCACAGGCACGUGUGCUCAACCUUGCUUGGUAAAAUAAACUUUCUAAAUUAACUGAGACCUGUCUCAAAUUUUCUGGGUUCACAUUAGCAUGACCUGUUCCCCCAGCAUUCAUGAUUGGGAAGCCACUGCCUUUCUCCUGGCCUGCUCAGGAGGCUAGGUCCAACCCUUGGGAUUCACUGGGAUUGGCUGCCUUCCACCCACAGCUAUAAUUCAUUUCCAAGGAGCUUUGCAUCCAGCUCCUUUUCUAGAAGGCUGAUGAGUGAGAAUCAGUCUUGGACACAUUAGGGCUUACCUUUCUGAGCCACCCCAAAUGAGCUUCCCACACCUUCUUCCCAAAUUGUCCUCACCUUCUCAGAUCUGCAGGCCUUCCAGUGCAGAGGGAAGAUCUGCCUAAGUAAGUUUACUGGUUAGAGGAGCAGAAAAUGUAUGUGUCCUGAAGCAAGAUGCUGUGAAAGAGAAAACCCAGAAAAGGCUAAACCUCAGUCCUUCUUCCAAAUCAUCAGCUUAGUCAUUCACCUACCCUUGGAGAGGGGAGCAAAGGAUAGAGAAGCUGUCAGAAAUAUUCUAGUUUUUCCUCCUGGGGAGGGAAGCACAAGUUUCUUGUCCUCUAUGGAAAUGUGCAGCAGCUUUGGAUCAAAAAUAAACUGGACAUGGAUGGAUGGUGGUGAUGGCUUCACAACAGUGUGAAUGUAGUAAACACCACCGAACUGUACACUAAAAACUGGUUAAAAUAGUACAUUUUAUGAUAUUUACUACAAUUACCCAAUCACUGUAAAAAAGGAACUGGAUCUAAUCAUGCUUUUGAUUUUAUUUUUGCUUUGUUUUGAAUAGUUAAUAUAUUCAUAUGAUUUUAAAUGUAAAAAACACAAAUGGCCCCUUCAUAAUCUUUUCCUAGCUAAUGCAGUUUCUUCUUCAGAGGCAAACAAUAAAAACAGCAUUUUCAUAUUCUUCCAGAGAUAUUUUACGCAUUCUCUAGCAAAUACAUGUUUUAAAAAUUUUUGACACAAAUGGUAUUGUAUGUUACACACUGUUCUGCAAUUUGCAUUUUAACUUAAUGAAAUUUCUUGGGGAAUGCUCCAUAUCAGUGUAUCAGAGUUCCAGCAUUCAUAGAGCUAUACGUUUUCCUAGAGCACAGAUUUCCGUAGUUGGCUUAACCAGUCCCCCUUAUGUGCAAAUAUAGAUGUUUUUACUCUUUUGUUGUUCCAAACAGUGAAUAUCCUCUUAUGUGUGUCAUUUCUCAUAUUUAUCUACUCAUAAGAUAAAUUCAUAGACAUGGAAUUGUCCAAUCUUGGUUUUAAUAGUUUUCAUUAUAGGCCAACUUGACUUUAAUGCUGUUGAGUAGACAUUUGGAAUGCAGUACUAACUGACCAAGACCUCUAAUCUAACAAGCUAUCCAGAAAACUGAUGAUGUCUUUCUUACUCACAGAUCAUUGUUCCAGUUUCAUAUGUGCACUAAGGUGGGAAAACUGUCAAACAGACCCCAAGAAAAUAAUGUCCAUUUUCAAAAAGCAACUCUUUCUGGCAGAGGUCUGAUUAGCCCAUAACACAUAACUAUCUGAUUAUAAAUGAGCUUUCUUAAAAUAAUUUUUAAUAUUUUUUCCCACUGUAAUUUUUCCAUGUUUCUAUGUAUGCUAUACAUUUUUGUUUUGUAACAAUUAAAGGGCCCUGACAGGUUAGCCAGAGAAAGUAAUAUUUAUUAUCUGUAUAUUAAGAUGAGAAAACAAGGAACAUAGGCCAAGGGAAGUUUCCACUUGUCCAAAGUCACCCAGCAAGUUAGUGGGAGAGCCUGAACUAAAAUGCAGGUCACAACCUAAUCCCAUGCUCUGUUCACUGAUCCAUAUUUGUCCUUUUUGCCAGUUCUCAAAAGUAAGUGAGCUGUUCCUAAACCUAUUGGGUCUAGAAGUGGUCUCAGUUUAUGGGCAGCUGACGAUGUCUCACUAUGAAGAACUUGUCCUGAUGGUGUGCAGCUGCUGAAGAUGUAUAGCAGGGAUCUUCCAUGGGAGGUCCAAGAAGGCUGAUAUCUUCCAGGCUUGCCUAUAGGUAUAUGUGGCUCACAUGCCAAGAUGGGAACAAACUGUGCUCCUUCUACUUAUAAAGGAAUAAAAUUAACUGUAAAGCAUCCUUGGGCAGGUCCUUCAGGAGGUAUUCCGGAAGAGGGCAUUGUUAUCAUAGGAGAUGACAGCUCCAUCCUGUUACUGCCCCAAAGACCUUCCAGUGGGACAAGAUGUGGAGGUAGAAGACAGUGAUAUUAAUGAUCCUGACUCUGCGUAGGCCUAGGCUAAUGUGUGUGUGUCUUAGUUUUUAAAAAAGUUUAAAAAGUAAAAGACAAUUUAAAAAUUUUUAUUAGAAUAAAGCUUACAAAAUAAAGAUAUAAAGAAAGAAAAUAUUUUUGUUCAGCCAUAGAGUGUUUGUGUUUUAAGCUUAGUGUUAUUACAAAAGGUUCAAAACUUUCAAAAAAUUUAAAAGUUUAUAAAGUAAAAAGUUAUAGUUGGCUGAGUGCGGUGGCUCACACCUGUAAUCCCAGCACUUUGGGAGGCUGAGGCAGGUGGAUCGUGAGGUCAGGAGUUCGAGACCAGUCUGGCCAACACGGUGAAACCCCAUCUCUACUAAAAAUACAAAAAUUAGCCAGGUGUGGUGGUGGGUGUCUGUAAUCCCCACUACUCAGGAGGCUGAGGCAGGAGAAUUGCUUGAACCCGGGAGGCAGAGGUUGCAGUGAGCUGAGAUGGUGCCACUGCACUCCAGCCUGGGCGACAGACCAAGACUCUGUCUCAAAAAAAAAAAAAAGUUAUAGUUUAAUUUUUAAGGUUAAUUUAUUAUUGAAGAAAAAUUUUUAAUGAGUUUAGUGUAGCCUAGGUGUACACUAGGUGUUUAUAGAGUCUACGAUAGUGUACAGUCAUGUCCUAGGCCUUCACAUUCACUCAUCACUCACUAACUCACACAGAGCAACUUCUGGUCCUGCAAACUCCAUUCGUGUUGAGUGUCCUAUGUAGGUGUAUUACUUUAUAUCUUUUGUACUAUAUUUUUACUGUAUUUUUUCUUUGUUUAGAAAUGUUUGGAUACACAAACACUAGUGUGUUACAAUUGCCUACAGUAUUCAUUCAGUACAGUAACAUGCUGUUGCAACCUAGAAGCAAUAAGCUACACCAUAUAGCCUAGGUGUGCAGUAGGCUACACCAUCUAGCUUUGUGUAAGUACAUUCUUUGAAGCUUGCACGAUGACAAAAUUGCCUAAUGACACAUUUCUCAGAACAUAACUCCAUCAUUAAGCUACAUAACUUAAACCCCUGCUAUGCAAUGAAACUCAGGUAGCAUAUUAAAAAAUAGAUAACUCAAGCAUUGCAUACAGAGAAGCCAUUCUUGGAACACCAGACAAUAAGCAUUGCAUUAGAUCAGAGCAGUUCUGGGCACAUCUAUGGUCAACAAGAAAUAUUCUCAAAGUCUGAACUUUGAGCUAUAGUAGACAGACAAACUAAGAAUUCCUCAAAGUUAGUAUUUCCAACCGUGAUGUAAGAGUCUAUUCUGAGUGUUGUGACAAACUAUCUCCAGAUCUCGCUAGAGUAACACAAUAAAGGUUUGUUUCUCACCCAUCACAGUCGGGUAUGGCUGUAUGAGGGAGGCGUGAGGAAGGAUCUGCUCCUCGCCCAUCACAGUCGGGUAUGGCUGUAUGAGGGAGGCGUGAGGAAGGCUCUGCUCCAUGCAUUCAUGGAAGUGGCCUUGAUCACCAGCCUAGCACUUCACUGGCAGGGCUCAGUCAAUGACAUCUAGUGGCUGGGAAGCUCGGAAAUGAGCUUUCCUUUGUGCUCAGAAGUAGGACUUGGGCGAACACAUAGCAGUAUCUCUGCUCCAUCCACAUAAACGGGCUCAGAACUUAAAUGGAAAGAGACGCUGAAGAGGGCAUCAAAUAUAUGAGAACUGGAACAGGGAAAGGAACAAAGAUCUGAACAGGAUCAGAUAGAGAUAUUUGCCUACAGACAAGUCCUUGGUUAAAAGACCGUGGAAAUUGAUUCUAGAACUAUAUAUUAUUUAUGGCUUGUGGGACGCAGAAAUGUGUUCUGGUUACCUGUGCAAUAAACUGUACAUACUUCUCAUUUCAGAGUUGGAGUCAAUCACUCUCUGUUGGCCUUUUUUGCUGUCUUUACAAAGUCAUGGGUUAACGAACCCUACUGGGUACUUCUAACAUGAGGUGUCUGGGCUGGGAGAGUCUUACUGGCAAUUGAUGUCAAGAUUCUUCGUCCAGAGGCACAGAGCAGAAAGGUUCUUGGUCCACAGACACCUUAAAACAAGGCCACCCUGGCCAGGUUUAUUCCCGUCUGGCGGCCUACACAUUUCUUAUAUCCUGGAAAAACUGGUGAGCAAGCAAGUGUCGACCUCAGAGUCUCUGACAGGGCUAUUUUGAAACCACACACCAUGAAAACUCUCAGGGAAGUUAAAAAACAAACAAUCAUAACCAAGGCAGUUUAGCUGUUUUGAAAAGAGAUGGAGCUUCAUUACUUCAAACCCAAAUUUCUGCAAGCCUGACAACCACCUUACAUCAAAAUAAACGUCUACCUGCUAGCUGAAAUGUUUAAAAACACAGUUACCAUGUGAGGUAAGCAGAGCUGACCUUGACUGGCAUCUCUAUCAGCAGCUCAGUGGGAUUAAAUGGCUUGCCAAUGUCACAAGAAUGUGAGCUCCUUUCUUCAUCUUUCUGCUCCAAUGUAGCAACUACCAAGGGGCCACCUGACAGAACAUGGCCGCUGCAGAGGAACCCUGCUACCUGCAGUUGGUGACAUGGCCUAGGUCCCAGAGGCCUCGUGGUGCCACACACACAAGAACAGGCACCAACAACCAGUGACAUUUUGACAGUCAAAUGGAACCUGUGACUGCCAUCUGUAGAUGUGCCAGCCAAGAAUGUGACCCUGGGGAAAGCCCUUCACACAGGUCUUUCCUUGGUGUAUUUAUAUUUAGUUCCAGCGAAAAACUGCAGUUGUUUUUCUCAGUGACAGGCAUCAAACGAUAACCGAAAAGAAUGAGAAAUAAUUGUUCCCUUUCUCCCUGUUAGGAGAUUGUACUCUUUGAAUUUGGGACCACAGCUCUCUGAACAGCUAGCUCUCCCAUGCCUGGCUCAUGAGACAUCAUAAAUGUUGAUUGUAUUAAAGACAAUUUAGAGGGAAAGGACUUGAAUUCUGGUUCUAAGCUAUUAAAAAUAUUUCUACAUUUUAAUUUUUAAAUUAAGAAAGAUUUUGUACAUAUGGAAAGGUGCAGAAUAUAAAACAGACAACCAUAUGCUUACCAUCCAGAUUAAACAACUGUUAACGUUUUCUCGUAUUUACUUCAGAUCACUUGAAACAAAAGAAAGACAAAAAGAUACGGCUAAAGCCUUGGCCCCCUUCACUCACAUCCCUCCCCUCCUCCCCUCUGCAGAGCAACUUCUGCCUGAAGCUGGUGUGUGUCAUUUCCAUGCAUGAUCUUGUGCUUUCAGUACAUAUUUGUAUAUCCAAAACAAUAUUUACUAUUGUUUUGUGUGCAUUCUUAAUUUACAUAAAUGGCAUCAUAUUGUAAAUUCUCUUGCAACUUGGCUUUUCUUACUCAACAGUACAUUUUAGGGACUUAUUUAUGUUGUGUGGAUACAGUGUAGACCUAGUUCAUUCAUUUUAACUUAAUUGUGAAAUACCAUAGUUUACUUAUCCAUUUCCCUAUUGGGUAAAAUUAGUUAUUGCUUUAUUGUCGUUGUUGUUUAUUGCAAUGAACAUGCCUGUGCAUGCAUCUUUGUGCACGUGUUUGUUAGUGUAAAUGCCCUGAAGUGAAAUUGCUAAUUAGUAGGAAAUAUACUUCUGCACCUUCCUUAGCAGAGACAAAUUGUUCUCCCAAGUGGUUGUACCUAUUUGAACUCAUGCUAGAUUAGAAAUCCCUGUGUUCCUACAUCCUUACCAUCAUUUGUGAGGCUUUCAAUUUUUCUUAUCCAAUAAGUACAAAUGACAUUUUAUUUUUUUAAUUCACAUCUCUCUAAUUAUUCAUGAGCUUAAGCAUUUUUACAUGUUUACUAACCAGUUGUGUAUGUGCAUGUGUGUGCAUGUGAGAGAGAGAGAGAAAUAGGUUUUAAUCCUUUGUUCUUUUCUUAUAAAUUUAUAGUUGUAUUUAUUCUGAAGUUCUUAUCUGAGUUGAAAAGUGUUCUCACAAAUGGUAUCUUGCCUUUUAAUUUUGUUUAUGUCAUGUUCUAUUAUAAAUAGCUUUUUAAUUUUCAUGUAGUUAAAUUUAUAUGUCUUUUCAAGGUUUGUGGGCAUUUGUCCCUUAGUUAAUAAAUCUGUUUCUAACUCUACAUUCAAGAUAUUCUCCCACAUUGUUUUCUAAAAAUUCUAAAUUUUUUUUCCCUUCACAUUUAAAUUUUUGUCCAUCUGGAAUUUACUUUUGCUUAUGUGAUGAGUAGGGAUCUAAUUUUAUCUUUUUCCAAGCAGAAAGUUAAUUGUCAAGGAUGAUCCAGACUUUCCCGCUGUUUGAAAUGUCAUUUCU
This 12821-nucleotide long non-coding RNA is filed under the name Homo sapiens (human). RNAcentral describes it as "HSALNT0166265". The record is from RNAcentral. Lineage: Eukaryota; Metazoa; Chordata; Mammalia; Primates; Hominidae.